GAUUAAGAGCUUGCUCUUAUGAAGUUAGCGGCGGACGGGUGAGUAACACGUGGGUAACCUGCCCAUAAGACUGGGAUAACUCCGGGAAACCGGGGCUAAUACCGGAUAACAUUUUGAACCGCAUGGUUCGAAAUUGAAAGGCGGCUUCGGCUGUCACUUAUGGAUGGACCCGCGUCGCAUUAGCUAGUUGGUGAGGUAACGGCUCACCAAGGCAACGAUGCGUAGCCGACCUGAGAGGGUGAUCGGCCACACUGGGACUGAGACACGGCCCAGACUCCUACGGGAGGCAGCAGUAGGGAAUCUUCCGCAAUGGACGAAAGUCUGACGGAGCAACGCCGCGUGAGUGAUGAAGGCUUUCGGGUCGUAAAACUCUGUUGUUAGGGAAGAACAAGUGCUAGUUGAAUAAGCUGGCACCUUGACGGUACCUAACCAGAAAGCCACGGCUAACUACGUGCCAGCAGCCGCGGUAAUACGUAGGUGGCAAGCGUUAUCCGGAAUUAUUGGGCGUAAAGCGCGCGCAGGUGGUUUCUUAAGUCUGAUGUGAAAGCCCACGGCUCAACCGUGGAGGGUCAUUGGAAACUGGGAGACUUGAGUGCAGAAGAGGAAAGUGGAAUUCCAUGUGUAGCGGUGAAAUGCGUAGAGAUAUGGAGG
This 651-nucleotide ribosomal RNA is filed under the name Bacillus cereus. Its description in RNAcentral is "bacterial SSU rRNA". It matches the Rfam family "Bacterial small subunit ribosomal RNA", at positions 70 to 704 of the family's 1533-position model. The record is from RNAcentral. Lineage: Bacteria; Bacillati; Bacillota; Bacilli; Caryophanales; Bacillaceae.